RNAcentral lists this unclassified non-coding RNA (518 nucleotides) under Hevea brasiliensis (rubber tree). Lineage: Eukaryota; Viridiplantae; Streptophyta; Magnoliopsida; Malpighiales; Euphorbiaceae. The record is from RNAcentral.
GAAAAUAUGAUUUUCUUUAAAAGCUUUCACCAAAAUAAUCCAUUUACAUGAACUGCACAAGUUCUCAUUUUCUUGUUAAUCUAAUCCUAGUCGAGGAUGCAUUUGGGAUAGCCCCAGGACUCAUAAGAAACUCAUAAAUUGCUUCAAGGAAAUAAUGAAGCAGCACUCCAGUUAUAUCCAAACUUUUGUUUACUGAAUUAUCUGCAAGACUGUGUAAGGGACUGAGUUUGAAUCGAAAUCCGAAUUAAAUAAAAAAUAAAGCACUGUACACUUGAGAAAUUCAUUCCCUCCAAUUUAGGUUUGCAACAAACGGACAUUUUCAACUGAUGAUCCGGAGCUUCCCAACUCUUUAUCGUCAGUUAUGUACUCCUCUUUGGCCUUUCCCCACAUUACUGCAUAAAAUCCAGUUACAAUGACAGUUGCUCCGAUCAAACUUCCAAGACCAAGGUUUUCUCCUAAAAAGAUGGCAUCUAGGACAACUGCAAAGAUAAUUGCCAAGGGCUUGAACAUAGAAACAA